Molecule: ribosomal RNA, 911 nt
Filed under: Escherichia coli
Lineage: Bacteria; Pseudomonadati; Pseudomonadota; Gammaproteobacteria; Enterobacterales; Enterobacteriaceae
Description: partial 23S ribosomal RNA
Rfam family: Bacterial large subunit ribosomal RNA
Source: RNAcentral
CUCCACCCGAGACUCAGUGAAAUUGAACUCGCUGUGAAGAUGCAGUGUACCCGCGGCAAGACGGAAAGACCCCGUGAACCUUUACUAUAGCUUGACACUGAACAUUGAGCCUUGAUGUGUAGGAUAGGUGGGAGGCUUUGAAGUGUGGACGCCAGUCUGCAUGGAGCCGGCCUUGAAAUACCACCCUUUAAUGUUUGAUGUUCUAACGUGGACCCGUGAUCCGGGUUGCGGACAGUGUCUGGUGGGUAGUUUGACUGGGGCGGUCUCCUCCUAAAGAGUAACGGAGGAGCACGAAGGUUGGCUAAUCCUGGUCGGACAUCAGGAGGUUAGUGCAAUGGCAUAAGCCAGCUUGACUGCGAGCGUGACGGCGCGAGCAGGUGCGAAAGCAGGUCAUAGUGAUCCGGUGGUUCUGAAUGGAAGGGCCAUCGCUCAACGGAUAAAAGGUACUCCGGGGAUAACAGGCUGAUACCGCCCAAGAGUUCAUAUCGACGGCGGUGUUUGGCACCUCGAUGUCGGCUCAUCACAUCCUGGGGCUGAAGUAGGUCCCAAGGGUAUGGCUGUUCGCCAUUUAAAGUGGUACGCGAGCUGGGUUUAGAACGUCGUGAGACAGUUCGGUCCCUAUCUGCCGUGGGCGCUGGAGAACUGAGGGGGGCUGCUCCUAGUACGAGAGGACCGGAGUGGACGCAUCACUGGUGUUCGGGUUGUCAUGCCAAUGGCACUGCCCGGUAGCUAAAUGCGGAAGAGAUAAGUGCUGAAAGCAUCUAAGCACGAAACUUGCCCCGAGAUGAGUUCUCCCUGACCCUUUAAGGGUCCUGAAGGAACGUUGAAGACGACGACGUUGAUAGGCCGGGUGUGUAAGCGCAGCGAUGCGUUGAGCUAACCGGUACUAAUGAACCGUGAGGCUUAACCUU